Molecule: non-coding RNA, 181 nt
Filed under: Chromera velia
Lineage: Eukaryota; Chromeraceae
Source: RNAcentral
GAGAGAAACCGUCGGUGAGUGCUGUGACGAGGGUAGCGAACCAUCCAGUAAAACGAGGGGGGGAGGCUCUUCUCCUCUACUGUUGAAUGUAUUCACUUUCUUUUGUUUUUGGUGUGAAGAGGGAGGGAGGGAAGAUCCUUGCCGUCGAUUUUCUCCCAGCCGGUUGGGGUGGUGGAAAAAC